GAUAAUGUUGCACCAACAGCUUGACAUAAUCUGUUUUGAGUCAGUUGAGAAAGUUCAGUGAAACUUUAUUUUUCAUGUUUUUAUUUUGUUGGUUUAUUUGAUAGGGACCAUGCAUAUUUAUGAACAUUGUUGUAUAAAAACACCAUGUAAAUAAGCCAGAAGUAGUAAAAGUAACUACUUUUCAUCUGCAGUCCCUAGACAGGUUACAUAGGACUGACAUAGAGAGAGUAAGCAGUAGGGUUGCACAAUAAUAACAGAAUUUACAGGAAAACACAUCUUAACAAUAUUCAUAGAUUCACAACAAUAUUUGAUUUCUGAGAGGAAAAAGCUCCACAGGUUGACUUCAUGUGUCUGUUCAGCACGCUCACAUCAAACU
Sander lucioperca (pikeperch) is the source of this 376-nucleotide long non-coding RNA. RefSeq lists it as uncharacterized. The transcript is spliced from 2 exons. NCBI's taxonomy places the organism in Eukaryota, Metazoa, Chordata, Actinopteri, Perciformes, Percidae. The record is from RefSeq and is a predicted model, not a curated record.